Unclassified non-coding RNA from Chelonoidis abingdonii (Abingdon island giant tortoise), 166 nucleotides. The record is from Ensembl. Lineage: Eukaryota; Metazoa; Chordata; Testudines; Testudinidae.
UUGACUGUACUGGAAACUGAAGCUCUCUCAUUACAGAUACAGCAUAACAAGUAGCAGUGCAAGUUUCCCAACACUGCUCCAUUGUGCUUCAAGCCUGUUCUAAAGGGACCGCUCUUUGGAGCAACAAUGUAGUUUAACAUCCAUCCCCAUUCUUAUCAUUGCUCUC